CCGAAUUACAAGUCGGUCGAUUGUGCUGGUGACCUAACAGUUACAUGUGCACAUCAGCUGCAAAUCCACACACCUGUGCACUUUAGACUUUGGGAUUCGCCAGCUUACGGUUGGCAGUCGGUCUUCCACCUGUGGGUCGACCUGGAUCCCGAAGUACUUUACACAAACUCUUGAAUGGAAUGGAAUGUUGACUUGUGCUUAUGCACUUAUUGACAUA
This 217-nucleotide unclassified non-coding RNA is filed under the name uncultured Sebacinaceae. RNAcentral describes it as "sequence contains ITS1". Lineage: Eukaryota; Fungi; Basidiomycota; Agaricomycetes; Sebacinales; Sebacinaceae. The record is from RNAcentral.